This is a long non-coding RNA of Mesocricetus auratus (golden hamster), 1051 nucleotides long. RefSeq lists it as uncharacterized. The record is from RefSeq and is a predicted model, not a curated record. The transcript is spliced from 3 exons. NCBI's taxonomy places the organism in Eukaryota, Metazoa, Chordata, Mammalia, Rodentia, Cricetidae.
CUCUCCAGCUCCCAUCCCUUCACUUUUAUCCCUGGCUGGCCUCGUGUAUCGUCUCUCAGAUGUACCACUGUGCUCAUUUCUGCACUUUCGCUUCAACAGGGGAGAGAAUCUUAUCUACCAAAAGAAAGAAAAUUAAGUCCAUGACCAAAGCACUCUACCCACCUCCAUUCCCAUGCCAGCCCACAUCUUCUGAGGACCAGUGCUGGGGCCCUUGACUCAAAGACACAGUUCUAGUGUUGGAAAAAAUGCGGUGUGCAGUGUGAUGGGUCUGCCACACUCUGCAGCCCAUGAAAGCUCCCUGGAGACCAGGACUGUGUUCAUCUAUCAAAAGUGCUUAAAUUACCCCAUGCAAACCGAGUGGUAAGCAUGCAGAGUGCAGGGGGUGUAGAUAACUCCCACCAAGAGCAGCACAAUCAGUCACACGCAGAGCAGAGAGAGAUGAGGUCAGAGAAGUUGGCAAAGAUAGGUCAUGAAGAGGAGUCCUCAGGCAGAAGUUGAAGCCAGUGGACAAGUGAUCCCACCUAGAGGGCAACAGGUCCCUGGAAGGCUGUGGAUUGUCCAAAAGACCUAAGAAUCUGUAAAUGGUUUCCUUUCCUCCUCCUCACCCCCUGCCCCGUGGAUACAGUGCAGAUUUUCUACAUCCAAAAAGGAUCUCGUCCAUGAACAUGAAGCCCAAAUGGCCAACACUUGCUUAAGUCUAUGUAGAGAUCCACCCGCUGUGCCACCUAAGUAUUGGGAUUAAAGGCUUGUGCCACGGAGCUGGCUCUGAAGCUGGUUCUUGGAGUCCUGGUCUUACCUGUCCCUCCUAAGCACUUGAAUACAGCUCUGGUACCUUGCUCUGUGUGGGGCACGCAUACCCAGUCCAGAGCGUCAGGAAGGAAAGCAGCCAUGAGUAUGUUGGGUUCAAAAGCUACAAGAACCCUGGAUAUGCAGCAGCGGUUUCUUACUCUGAAGAGAUGCCCAUCUGAAGGUCAAAAGAAUGUCUCAGGGCAGCUACCCAACCACGUUCCGCAAGGCCAGCAGCCAGGCUGAGGUGGGUUUGUAGGAGGUG